This 1529-nucleotide ribosomal RNA is filed under the name Mesoplasma florum L1. Its description in RNAcentral is "16S ribosomal RNA". It matches the Rfam family "Bacterial small subunit ribosomal RNA". Lineage: Bacteria; Bacillati; Mycoplasmatota; Mollicutes; Entomoplasmatales; Entomoplasmataceae. The record is from RNAcentral.
UUUAAAAUGAGAGUUUGAUCCUGGCUCAGGAUAAACGCUGGCGGCAUGCCUAAUACAUGCAAGUCGAACGGAGGUGCUUGCACCUCAGUGGCGAACGGGUGAGUAACACGUAUCUAAUCUACCUUCUAGCGGGGGAUAACUUUUGGAAACGAAAGGUAAUACCGCAUGUGGAUGUUAUUAUCGCAUGAGAAAACAUUCAAAGAUCCGUUUGGAUCACUAGAAGAUGAGGAUGCGGCGUAUUAGCUAGUAGGCGGGGUAAAGGCCCACCUAGGCGAUGAUACGUAGCCGAACUGAGAGGUUGAUCGGCCACAUUGGGACUGAGAUACGGCCCAGACUCCUACGGGAGGCAGCAGUAGGGAAUUUUUCACAAUGGACGAAAGUCUGAUGAAGCAAUGCCGCGUGAGUGAUGACGGCCUUCGGGUUGUAAAGCUCUGUUGUAAGGGAAGAAAACAUAGGAGAGGAAAUGCUCUUAUCUUGACGGUACCUUACCAGAAAGCCACGGCUAACUAUGUGCCAGCAGCCGCGGUAAUACAUAGGUGGCAAGCGUUAUCCGGAUUUAUUGGGCGUAUAGGGUGCGUAGGCGGUUUCGCAAGUUUGAGGUUAAAGCCCGGAGCUCAACUCCGGUUCGCCUUGAAAACUGCGGGACUAGAAUAUCAGAGAGGUAAGCGGAAUUCCAUGUGUAGCGGUAAAAUGCGUAGAUAUAUGGAAGAACACCAGUGGCGAAAGCGGCUUACUGGCUGAUUAUUGACGCUGAGGCACGAAAGCGUGGGGAGCAAAUAGGAUUAGAUACCCUAGUAGUCCACGCCGUAAACGUUGAGUACUAAGUAUUGGGGAUUACCUCAGUGCUGCAGCUAACGCAUUAAGUACUCCGCCUGAGUAGUAUGCUCGCAAGAGUGAAACUCAAAGGAAUUGACGGGGACCCGCACAAGUGGUGGAGCAUGUGGUUUAAUUCGAAGCAACACGAAGAACCUUACCAGGGCUUGACAUACAGUGCAAAGCUACAGAGAUGUAGUGGAGGUUAACAUUGAUACAGGUGGUGCAUGGUUGUCGUCAGUUCGUGCCGUGAGGUGUUGGGUUAAGUCCCGCAACGAACGCAACCCUUGUCGUUAGUUACUAACAUUAAGUUGAGGACUCUAACGAGACUGCUAGUGUAAGCUAGAGGAAGGUGGGGAUGACGUCAAAUCAUCAUGCCCCUUAUGUCCUGGGCUACACACGUGCUACAAUGGCCGAUACAAAGAGUCGCAAUCUCGCGAGGGGGAGCUAAUCUCAAAAAGUCGGUCUCAGUUCGGAUUGAAGUCUGCAACUCGACUUCAUGAAGCCGGAAUCACUAGUAAUCGCGAAUCAGCUAUGUCGCGGUGAAUACGUUCUCGGGUCUUGUACACACCGCCCGUCAAACCACGAGAGUUGGUAAUACCAGAAGUACGUUUCCUAACCGUAAGGAAGGCGCGUCCCAAGGUAGGACUAGCGAUUGGGGUUAAGUCGUAACAAGGUAUCCGUACGGGAACGUGCGGAUGGAUCACCUCCUUUCU